RNAcentral lists this ribosomal RNA (573 nucleotides) under Channa maculata (blotched snakehead). Its description in RNAcentral is "partial 16S ribosomal RNA". It matches the Rfam family "Bacterial large subunit ribosomal RNA", at positions 1817 to 2600 of the family's 2925-position model. Lineage: Eukaryota; Metazoa; Chordata; Actinopteri; Anabantiformes; Channidae. The record is from RNAcentral.
CGCCUCUUGUAGUUUAAAAAUAAGAGGUCCCGCCUGCCCAGUGACACUAAGUUCAACGGCCGCGGUAUUUUGACCGUGCAAAGGUAGCGCAAUCACUUGUCUUUUAAAUGAAGACCCGUAUGAAUGGCAUAACGAGGGCCUAACUGUCUCCUUUUUCAAGUCAAUGAAAUUGAUCUCCCCGUGCAGAAGCGGGGAUAACAACAUAAGACGAGAAGACCCUAUGGAGCUUUAGACACCAGAGCAGCCCUUGUCAAACACCCCUGGCAAAAGGACAAAACCAAAAGGACCCUGCUCCCCUGUCUUUGGUUGGGGCGACCGCGGGGAAUACAAAACCCCCAUGUGGAAUGGGAAAACCACUCCUAAAACCAAGAGCCACGGCUCUAAGCAAUAGAACAUCUAACCAAAAGAUCCGGCAUGACCGAUCAACGAACCGAGUUACCCUAGGGAUAACAGCGCAAUCCCCUUCUAGAGUCCAUAUCGACAAGGGGGUUUACGACCUCGAUGUUGGAUCAGGACAUCCUAAUGGUGCAGCCGCUAUUAAGGGUUCGUUUGUUCAACGAUUAAAGUCCUACG